AUGAAUAUGUUCCCUAUGGUAACUGGGUUCAUGAGUUAUGGUCAACAAACAAUACGUGCUACAAGGUACAUAGGUCAAAGUUUCAUAACUACCUUAUCCCACACAAAUCGUUUACCUAUAACGAUUCACUACCCUUAUGAAAAAUCAAUUACACCAGAGCGUUUACGAGGGCGAAUCCACUUUGAAUUUGAUAAAUGUAUUGCUUGUGAAGUAUGUGUUCGCGUAUGUCCGAUAGAUCUACCCGUUGUGGGUUGGAGAUUUGAAAAGGAUAUUAAAAGAAAACAAUUGCUUAAUUAUAGCACAUUACUUAGCACAACUAGGAAAAUAAGAUAA
This 333-nucleotide ribosomal RNA is filed under the name Triticum aestivum (bread wheat). Its description in RNAcentral is "partial small subunit ribosomal RNA". Lineage: Eukaryota; Viridiplantae; Streptophyta; Magnoliopsida; Poales; Poaceae. The record is from RNAcentral.